AUUGAACGCUGGCGGCGUGCCUAAUACAUGCAAGUAGGACGCAGUUGCGAACGGGUGAGUAACGCGUAGGUAACUGACUAUUAGAGGGGGAUAACUAUUGGAAACGAUAGCUAAUACCGCAUACUAGUAGAUGGACCUGCGUUGUAUUAGCUAGUAGGUCGGGUAAUGGCCUACCUAGGCGACGAUACAUAGCCGAGCUGAGAGGGGGAUCUGCCAAACUGGGACGGAGACACGGCCCAGACGCCUACGGGAGGCAGCAGUAGGGAAACGUCGGCAAUGGGGGGAACGCUGACCGAGCAACGCCGCGGGAGUGAAGAAGGUUUUCGGAUCGGAAAGCUCUGUUGUUAAGGAAGCGGUACUUAACCAGAAAGGGACGGCUAACUACGUGCCAGCAGCCGCGGUAAUAC
Molecule: ribosomal RNA, 407 nt
Filed under: uncultured bacterium
Lineage: Bacteria
Description: partial 16S ribosomal RNA
Rfam family: Bacterial small subunit ribosomal RNA
Source: RNAcentral